This 255-nucleotide ribosomal RNA is filed under the name Flavobacterium sp. It_2_a. RNAcentral describes it as "partial 16S ribosomal RNA". It matches the Rfam family "Bacterial small subunit ribosomal RNA", at positions 89 to 344 of the family's 1533-position model. Lineage: Bacteria; Pseudomonadati; Bacteroidota; Flavobacteriia; Flavobacteriales; Flavobacteriaceae. The record is from RNAcentral.
UAGAGACCGGCGCACGGGUGCGUAACGCGUAUGCAAUCUACCUUUUACAGAGGGAUAGCCCAGAGAAAUUUGGAUUAAUACCUCAUAGUAUAGCAGUUUCGCAUGAAACCACUAUUAAAGUCACAACGGUAAAAGAUGAGCAUGCGUCCCAUUAGCUAGUUGGUAAGGUAACGGCUUACCAAGGCUACGAUGGGUAGGGGUCCUGAGAGGGAGAUCCCCCACACUGGUACUGAGACACGGACCAGACUCCUACGG